AGCGUCCUCCAAAAAUUGCAAAUGCCUCCGGCUAGCCAAUGAGGGGAGCUCGGACCGUACCAAAGUGGGAACCGGUUUAGGGGUGCUCCUUAAAGCUUUCUCAAAGAAACUUGGCAAUAUUAAAGGAACUCGGAAUUUCACAACAUGGAAGGGACAACUGUUUAAACCCAUUAUUACAGUACUAUUGAAGAGACUGUAAAGCUUUAAAUGUGCCCUUUUACAAAAGCCCAAACGUAACCGUGUGUUCAGAGUUAAUUAAUGGAUUCGUCCGCGCCAACAUUGAAAGUUUCGUGAAAGUGAACUCCAAUGCCGUUAGCUUGCUAUUGGUUUACUUGUGUUUAGAUGCUUCGACACAGCUGUUUGAACGUCGAACUUUAUUUGCUUUACUCAGAGUUGGUUUUACAGAACCGUCAACAGCGUUUCCUCUGCAGCACGGAGUGGAAGCCCUCUCCUACUGCUGCUGCCUCAGAAGAAUGACCGACCGCUGUGUGUGUCGGACUCAAACCUGUGACUGUGAGCACCUGAAUCUGUGUAUAUGUAUGUUGGUCUGCAGCCUGCCCUGACUGCUCCUUUAAACAAGCACCAGUGUGUUCAGACUGUAAUGAGCAAGAGCAGCUCAGUGUGGAAGAUGUUAACAAAAGAAAUAUUGAAUGUAGAAG
Molecule: long non-coding RNA, 659 nt
Filed under: Oreochromis niloticus (Nile tilapia)
Lineage: Eukaryota; Metazoa; Chordata; Actinopteri; Cichliformes; Cichlidae
Description: lncRNA (ENSONIG00000029988.1)
Source: RNAcentral